GCGGAUUAAAAAUGUAAUCCAAUAAUAACGCGUCUCUGGUGCCUGUGGAAGUACGUACGUAGUAUGUAGGUACAUAUAUGUACGGAGAUAGUGGCGUAGAAAUAAGGGAUGCGCAAGUCGUACGGGCUCUCCUGAAAGAUAAUUAGGCUACGUGUCAUUUUUAUUUCCUUCCGUACUCAACGGAAGAUAUACGUCCACGUUCGUCGAUCAUUUUAUUUCUAUUCAACUUCUAUCUUGCCUAAAUGUAUUUUAUCUACUUACAAUCAAUUCACGUAUGGUAGAAUUUCCUUUAGGUUGUUAAAAAAAUAAGCGUACACUGUUAUAUAAACGAAAUAUCAUUUUAUAAUUGUCAAACGUACUUAACGUGCGAAGUCUGGAUUCAAGUAGCCCAGAAAUGAUCGCACCGCGUAUAUACGGUACUGCGCGAGCAUUUCCUCGUGCCGAGAUGUGUCGAGUACGUGCCAGCACCUACGUAUAUCUGUAAUACCGGUAGGUAUGUGGGUACACCCCCAGAUGAAUCUUGAGGCAGUGAAAAUAUCACGAUGUCCGCUGCCACCGGAGCGUUGUCGGCCAAGGGGAUGAGCUGAAAUGGGUAGAUGGAGUCCAUUAGCAGACCGGUGAGGAUGUGUGCGAUUAUACACCCCUCCCCUCCUCCCUCCCCCCCGACAGUCCACUCAAUAAUGCAUCAUCCUUCUCUAUUCGAGGACCUCAAACCCCCGUCCAUGUAUGACCACUCGGGGAGACCGUUCCUUCCCGGGUACCACCUCCGCCCUACCACCCCCGCGGACCCGUUAUUCCUUUUCCACUGGUUACCUCCCUUCUACCGUGGAUUCACCUUCUGUGAACAUUACCGCGGGCUGCUUAUUACUGCCGCAGCUUUGAUUUGCGACGGGUGGCCAGGGGGUUGGUUAGCUACCACCGGACUCGGACCCGGGCUGUUUACUGCGUUUCAAAGAAAAACCGCGCUGGCUACGUACAUUCCGGAUUCGAGUUUCGGUAAUGGGCAUCGUUAUUUUAAUGCCACACAUCUAUCUCUUUCGGAUUUUGCGAAGGGCAGAGCUCGUCUUUCGUUUCAGUUAUAUUUUUUAGUAGAUAUGAAUAUUUAAUGCAGUCGGAAUUAUUCUGUAAUAUUGGUACACAGUAAACCAGCUUUAGAGUGAAAAGGAGUCGAAGCAGAUGACGUAUCAAUAGGUUUCGACACGAACGCAAGCAUCGAUGAUUUAUGAGCUAUCGACCUUACGACCUUUUAUUAUUCUCGCAAAAAGAAGAAAACACCGCGCUAAGCAGGUUUAACGCUGCAGCAUAAUCCACCUUCACAAUAAUUGAUUCUGACUACCGACUCGCUCAAUUCACGGAGCUGUGGUAUCUGGAAGAGCUCAACUGAAGUGCUCCAUCUCUUCCUGUUGGUCCGCGCAGAUUAACGGCUAAUCCGUACGGGAACGAGGAAUUGUUGAGAGAAAAGCGGAAAUGCUAAUCUCCCGAUGGGUAUCCCCGGGAUACCUACGUACCACGGAGCCUUCCAUUUCCACGUGUGCCGUUGGCCCCGUCGCGUCGCGCCGCGUCGCCUCUCGUUGGUGUCUUGGAUAUAUCGACGGACUUCGAGCACGUGUGAGCGUGCUCUUGCGCCUGUUUAAGUACGCUUGCGACGAUUGCGUGCAAGGGGCGGGGACGUAGAGACCCCAACGACGCUUCAACGCGUCGUGCAAAUCCUCUCAGAUCAUUCUCCUAUCUACCGAACGAGGACGCGACGUUUCUGCGCGAAACGUUUAUUUUGCUGCGAUGGACUUGCGAUUGAAUUAUUUUAUAUAUUCCGUGAUUUAACUGGAAUGUAGCUCCGGCCAUAUUAAACGGAAAAUCACCGCUCAAAGAGAAUUUGAAAUACCUAUAUAAAUUCUCCUUAUCAAAGCUCGAUCAACCACUGCGUAUGAGAUUACUGAUAAUUUGAAUAAAGCACCAAAAAGAAAGUUCAUAUAUGUACCUAUUUAAGAUAACAGUUUAUAAUCAUACAUCCAGUCGUGACAUUGCAAUU
Molecule: long non-coding RNA, 2029 nt
Organism: Ceratina calcarata
Lineage: Eukaryota; Metazoa; Arthropoda; Insecta; Hymenoptera; Apidae
Exons: 3
Source: RefSeq, a predicted model, not a curated record